Molecule: long non-coding RNA, 370 nt
Filed under: Bos taurus (domestic cattle)
Lineage: Eukaryota; Metazoa; Chordata; Mammalia; Artiodactyla; Bovidae
Description: long non-coding RNA NONBTAT008932
Source: RNAcentral
GAGUGCAUUCUGAAGAUUCCAACUGAUAUCAGGAUAGAAAAAUCAGACUGGGGACCGUUUUCCCUUUGGUUAAGGAUUUUAUGUUAGACCCUCUUAAAUAUAAAUCUCAAAUGAGGUAAAGGGUGUGAAAGGUAAAUAAACUAAACAUACAACAGCUUGUAGUGAGGUAUACCAACGAGGUAUAUGAAUAUGUCUUUAGAAUAUGAUUAAGUAUGUAGAAAGGUGAUUAGGUGAAAAUGUAUCCAUAUUCAAGACUGUUUUAUCAACUGAAGAUUGGUAUUCCUGCGUUCUUCCCUGGAAGUUCAGAUUUGCAUGUGUACAUGGUUUUGAUGCUAAUAGAGAGCAAAGCUAAAUUCCUCUACAGUUAAUG